Molecule: ribosomal RNA, 468 nt
Filed under: uncultured bacterium
Lineage: Bacteria
Description: partial 16S ribosomal RNA
Rfam family: Bacterial small subunit ribosomal RNA
Source: RNAcentral
GACGAACGCUGGCGGCGUGCUUAACACAUGCAAGUCGAACGGAAAGGUCCUGCCUUUGGGGGGGGCUCGAGUGGCGAAGGGGUGUGUAACAAUUGAGUAACCUGCCCUUGACUUGGUGAUAAUUUCUGGAAACUGGGGCUAAAAUCGGCUAGAAGCUCGUGAUGCUCGGGGGGGGUUGGUAUGUUUCGGCGGUAGGUGGUGGACUCUCGGCUGAUUAGCUCGUUGGUGGGGUAGGAGCUUACCAAGGAUUUGAUGGGUAGUCGGCCUGAGAGGGGGAACGGCCAACACGCGACUGAGAUAAGGCCCACACUCCUACGGGUCGCAGCAGCGGGGAAAAUUGCACAACGGGCGGCAGCCCGAUGCGGCACCGCCGCGAUCGGGAUGACGGCCGUCGCGUUGUAAACAGAUUUGGCAUGUGACGAAGCGUGAGUGACGGUAAUGGGUAAAGAAGCACCGGCUAACUACGUG